RNAcentral lists this signal recognition particle RNA (299 nucleotides) under Saimiri boliviensis boliviensis (Bolivian squirrel monkey). Its description in RNAcentral is "Metazoan signal recognition particle RNA (ENSSBOG00000008597.1)". It matches the Rfam family "Metazoan signal recognition particle RNA". From Rfam's summary of the family: The signal recognition particle (SRP) is a universally conserved ribonucleoprotein. It is involved in the co-translational targeting of proteins to membranes. The eukaryotic SRP consists of a 300-nucleotide 7S RNA and six proteins: SRPs 72, 68, 54, 19, 14, and 9. Lineage: Eukaryota; Metazoa; Chordata; Mammalia; Primates; Cebidae. The record is from RNAcentral.
GCCAGGUGUGGUAGUGUGUACCAGUAGUCCCAGCUACUCGGGAGACUGAGGUGGGAGGAUUGCUACAGCCCAGGAAUUCUGGGCUGUAGUGCGCUCUGCUGAUCAGGUGUUCUGCACUAGUUUGGCAUCAAUAUGGUGACCUCCAGGGAGCAGGGGACCACCAAGUUGUCUAAGGAGGGGAGAAGCAGCCCAGGUCAGAAACAGAGCAGGUCAAAACUUCCAUGCUAGUUAGUAGUGGGAUCAUGCCUACGAAUAACCACUGCACUACAGCCUGGACAACAUAGCAAGAUUGCAUCUCU